Molecule: ribosomal RNA, 396 nt
Filed under: uncultured Trematosphaeria
Lineage: Eukaryota; Fungi; Ascomycota; Dothideomycetes; Pleosporales; Trematosphaeriaceae
Description: partial small subunit ribosomal RNA
Rfam family: Eukaryotic small subunit ribosomal RNA
Source: RNAcentral
GCUUGUCUCAAAGAUUAAGCCAUGCAUGUCUUAGUGUAAAUAACUCUUAUGAAACUGCGAAUGGCUCAUUAAAUCAGUUAUCAAAUACGUGAUGGUCGCCUACUACAUGGAUAACCGUAGUAAUUCUAGAGCUAAUACAUGCACAAAGGCCCGACUUCGGAAGGGUUGUAUUUAUUAGAUAAAAAACCAAUGCCCUUCGGGGCUCUUUGGUGAUUCAUGAUAACUUCUCAGAUCGCACGGCCUUGCGCCGGCGACGGUUCAUUCAAAUUUCUGCCCUAUCAACUUUCGAUGGUACGGUAUUGGCCUACCAUGGUUUCAACGGGUAACAGGGAAUUAGGGUUCGAUUCUGGAGAGCGAGCCUGAGAGACGGCUAGCACAUCCAAGGAAGGCAGCAGG